This 253-nucleotide ribosomal RNA is filed under the name uncultured bacterium. Its description in RNAcentral is "partial 16S ribosomal RNA". It matches the Rfam family "Bacterial small subunit ribosomal RNA", at positions 524 to 776 of the family's 1533-position model. The record is from RNAcentral.
GACAGAGGUCCCGAGCGUUAGGCGGAAUCACUGGGCUUAAAGCGUGUGUAGGCGGAGUUCUAAGUACCUUGUGAAAUCCCACGGCUCAACCGUGGAACUGCUUGGUAUACUGGUUCUCUUGAGCCACCUAGGGGCAACCGGAACAAACGGUGGAGCGGUGAAAUGCGUAGAUAUCGGGUGGAACGCCAAUGGUGAAAACAGGUUGCUGGGGGUGUGCUGACGCUGAGACACGAAAGCCAGGGGAGCAAACGGG